Molecule: long non-coding RNA, 1084 nt
Filed under: Lepisosteus oculatus (spotted gar)
Lineage: Eukaryota; Metazoa; Chordata; Actinopteri; Semionotiformes; Lepisosteidae
Description: lncRNA (ENSLOCG00000022081.1)
Source: RNAcentral
GCCACGGAAACUCAGAUGUGUGUUUCUACCUCAAACGGAAACAAUAUGGAAGCGAGUCGUGAUCUCCGAAUUCCUUGACUUGAAACCAGUGAACAACAACACCGAUACUGGUGCGGAAAGACCCUCCAGCUCCAGCCACGUGACAAGGCGGGGCCGCCCGCAGCGGUCCAAUCACACCUGCGGACAGGUGAGGCUAUGCGGAAGGGCGUGAGCGUAGGUUCAGAGCAGGGCAGCCUUUUAGAGUCCCGGUUAGAGUCCUCUCUUGUUUCCGAUUUCUGGAUUUGCUCCGGUUUCGAGUUGGAUUUAACCCGUCGGAGGAAUACGACCCCCUUCCCUUCCCCCGAAUACCCACAGCUAAGCAUACUCGAGGAUUUCUUCAACAAGCGAAAUUUGUCAGCGAUGGCGACGUUACUGGAUGGUAAACCAAGAAAGCGAGUGAUUAGUUUCGACAUGGUCACCCUCGCCAUUGUCUUCGUGUUUACAGCAGGAACAGCAUCCGGCUUAUCCGUCACCACCAACACACCUGUAGUCCAAGUGCCAGAGAACUCAGGUUGGUCUUCCUGUGUGACACUGCCUGCUUUCAUUAGGGGGGCUUUACAGAGACUAACGCUCAGUGUAAUCGUGAUAAAGCCAGGUGUCUCUGUUCGCUUACUGUCGAGAAACAUCUUAACUUUGUAUACAAAGUGAUUCCUUGGCAACUUAGACUCCUCACAGCUACACCUGGUCAGGACUGCACCCCCCUGUGCCAAGAAUCAGGACAUGAUUGUCAGGUACUGUUGACUUAGAAAAGCAGGACAUUAGAUAAGGAAGCAGUGUGGACUGAAGGUGGGGUCAGAGGUCAAAGUUAAGGCUUGUGAGAUGCAAGGGCUGCUGAGCUAUGCUAGGCAGGAAGAUAGCAGAGAAGUAAUUCUUCUAGUUUAAUAAGAUAAUAUCCUUUUUAAAUCACAUAAUUUGUUCUACUUUUUCUUUCAGGGGCAGAUCUAAACUGCCAGUAUUCUGCUGACUUUGUGAACCCAAGAGUUGAAUGGAAAUACAAGGAUAAAUCAGGAUCUCAAGUUUUCCUGUUUUAUGAUAGCAAACCAAC